RNAcentral lists this ribosomal RNA (495 nucleotides) under uncultured bacterium. Its description in RNAcentral is "partial 16S ribosomal RNA". It matches the Rfam family "Bacterial small subunit ribosomal RNA", at positions 28 to 507 of the family's 1533-position model. The record is from RNAcentral.
GAUGAACGCUGGCGGCGUGCUUAACACAUGCAAGUCGAACGAAGCACCUCUCCCGAAGAUUGACACAGCUUGCUGUAGAUUGAUUCAUUUGAGGUGACUGAGUGGCGGACGGGUGAGUAACGCGUGGGUAACCUGCCUCAUAGAGGGGGACAACAGUUGGAAACGACUGCUAAUACCGCAUAGUAAGAAGAAUUCGCAUGUUUUCUUCUUGAAAGAUUUAUCGCUAUGAGAUGGACCCGCGUCUGAUUAGCUAGUUGGUAAGGUAACGGCUUACCAAGGCGGAGAUCAGUAGCCCGGUUGAGAGAGUGAACGGGCACAUUGGGACUGGGAAACGGCCCAAACUCCUUCGGGAGGCAGGAGGGGGGAAUAAUGCAACAUGGGGGAAACCCUGAUGCAGCGACGCCGCGUGAGUGAAGAAGUAUUUCGGUAUGUAAAGCUCUAUCAGCAGGGAAGAUAAUGACGGUACCUGACUAAGAAGCCCCGGCUAACUACGUG